UACGGAGGAUGCGAGCGUUAUCCGGAUUUAUUGGGUUUAAAGGGUGCGUAGGCGGUUUUUUAAGUUAGUGGUUAAACGUCGGGGCUUCACCUUGAUUUGCCACUAAUACUGUAAGACUCGAGUUCAGACGAGGUAGGCGGAAUAAGUUAAGUAGCGGUGAAAUGCUUAGAUAUAACUUAGAACUCCGAUAGCGAAGGCAGCUUACCAGACUGCGACUGACGCUGAAGCACGAGAGCGUGGGUAGCGAACAGG
Molecule: ribosomal RNA, 252 nt
Filed under: uncultured bacterium
Lineage: Bacteria
Description: partial 16S ribosomal RNA
Rfam family: Bacterial small subunit ribosomal RNA
Source: RNAcentral